GAUUGGCUGAUUCGUGUGGUGUGGGCGGACUUGAACGGGGGUGAUUGGGAAGCGUGCAUUUGCAGAGCAAGAAGACUUCUUGAAGUAGACUGAUAACAGAUAUCACGCUCAAAAUACUUAUGUAAACUUUCCAUACAUAGACACAUCAGCUUUUAGGCUGUAAUUUAUAUUCAUGGUUUUUCCCCCGGUAUUUUCAUCAUUUUACUACUAUUUGAGAGUUAACUGGAGGAACACUGCUUUUCAAAGAUGUGGUUAUUUUUAUCAAUGUGUGCACUGGUUAAAGCUUUCCAUGCAGACUUUUCGGAAACAGGAUCUGGUGUCUCGGACUCAGAGGGGUUCAACACAUAUCUGAAUCUCUUUACACAAAGAGUGGAUUUACUUGAGCAGCUCUCAGGCUUAGUACCAACCAGCAGGAACGUGACCCUUUAUGAGGAGGACAAAAGAUGUCCAGUGCUGGACAUUGGCCUGUAUUCCACACUCACCAUGCCCUCCCAUGAAGCAUUUGGAUCAAGCUUUGCAGAUGAAUUUAGUCUUCUGAUUCAACUGCGGAGCUCACAAGAAGAGGACCGGAGUGUGUUGACUUUGCUGAACUUCUAUAAUCACAUUUUACUCCAGAUCCGUAUAGGCCCACACAGCAUCACCUUCAUCACCACACAGCAGCGUGACUAUGAGUUUUCAGUGUCAGGGCUGUCUGACUCGCAGUGGCACUGGAUCUCAGUUGGGGUUGCAUUUGAAUGGCUGGCUGUGUAUGUGGACUGUGUGCUGGUGGAGAAAGUGAGCUGGAUGUACCCGUACAUGGGCAUCACUACAGAUGGCCUGCUGAUGGUGGGGGGAAUCCUGGAGGGCUUUGAGACACCCUUUGAGGGAGAGCUGAGACAGAUGACCUUCAUAAUGGGAGAUGCAAAUGCUGCCAGGGAUCACUGUGCUCUUCAUCAGCAUAUAUGUGAACCUGUAAAAGAACGUGGGUUUCUUAAAACAGAAAGUAGCACUGAGAGCCCUUUUUUGUCUUCAGCUGGCUCAACAGCAGACAGACCUUUCUCAUCAAAUCCCUCUACUGGCAGAGAUGAGACUGCCAAUAUACAUCCUGUUCCAGGGCUCCGGCCUGAACCCAGAAAAUCACAUGGUUCGCAUGGUGCUGUAACAGAGAGGAGCUGUGCUGAGACGGUUUGAUAAACACCCCGUCUGGGAGAGUAAGUCCGGGGAUACUCCAGGAACAGCUCCAAAGCUUGCAAAUCGCCUGG
Molecule: long non-coding RNA, 1241 nt
Organism: Cyprinus carpio carpio
Lineage: Eukaryota; Metazoa; Chordata; Actinopteri; Cypriniformes; Cyprinidae
Source: Ensembl